Aethalodelphis obliquidens (Pacific white-sided dolphin) is the source of this 2501-nucleotide long non-coding RNA. RefSeq lists it as uncharacterized. Lineage: Eukaryota; Metazoa; Chordata; Mammalia; Artiodactyla; Delphinidae. The transcript has 2 exons. The record is from RefSeq and is a predicted model, not a curated record.
UACGUGUCCAAUCACUGAGAGGAAAGGCGGGUCAAGGUCCGUGCCUGCUACAAAGAUGGCGACCGCGGAACGCUCUAGAGCUUCAGUCUUUCGUCAGCUGUUGGCGUGAGCUGUGUUGGAAAUUAUGUUCCCCUGAAGCCGCGCGCCGCAGCGCCUGUCUGUGGCAAGAAGUGGAUGUGAAGGGCAGGGCGGACGUCCUGCUUCGGGUUUCAGCGUUGAGGCUCCGAGCAGAGGGGUAGCGCUGAUGUCGUCUCCAGGCCGGGCGAUGCGGGGGAGGGCAGCAGCUCGCCCCCUUCCCCGCUGUUUCCAGAAUCCCUGCGGGUGUCAGCGUGGCCAGAGCUGUCCACCUGUAGACACUGGACCCCAGUAUACCUGUCAGCUUCAGCUGAGUAGAUGUAUCUCGGGUUUUUUUUUUUUUUUCCCCUCAGUCAUGAGGGAUGGAGGCUUCAGUUUAGCAGACAAACUGUCUGGGGCCCAAAAGAGAAAAAAGUCUCAGCCUGUUCAAGAAGUGAAGCAAAAGCUACGCAGAACCCUGACAUCUUUGUUCCUGUAACCUUUCUGAGUUAUGAACCAAUUCCGGUUAUGAUGGAACUGGCAUGGCCGUCAUAUGUAUGCCUACCUGGCAUGAUAUAUUUAGGAAUGAAAAAUGCCCGUUACUUCUGUGAAGUGAAGAAACUGCACAACCUAAAAGUUGAGAAUUUUUUUAUUUGGUGGCUUUUCUGAGGACCUAAGCCAGGAAGACAGCCUCUCAAAUCGCUUUGGGGGACUGCUCCAAAGAGGCAAGGGAGGAGCCAGGAUAUAUACGAGUUUUCCAGCAAAAACCAGAACUGGAGCCAGUUUUGAAAGAGAAAAUUAGCUACGUACCACAUGGUGCUCGAAAUAGCUGAAGAAAUGCAGAAUGAACUAACAGGCUAACAGGCCUCCAAACCCAGAACAAGUUCCCGGAGCUGGUAAAAGCAGCCGAAUUCUUGAGUGUGAUCAUAGAUGGGAACACUGGUAUCUCUUCCAAAGAAAAUCUCUCCCUCUUUGCCGUUUUCACCAGACUGAAGAAGGUAAGUGGAGUUUUAUUUAAUAUCUGAUUGAUUUCGUAGAGGCUGUUGACAUGACUGAGAAUCUCCCGACAGAAUGCUUCUUGCAGAGAAUAGCAGUCUGCGGUUUACCAAAGGAAUUACUGCAGGGUUUCUGUGAUCAGAGGGUGAUUCCAUGAAUGGCCAGCUGGAAGGAUUUGUUCUUGGCUUCUAAGAUGCAGGAGCUGGACUCAGCUAUUAUUUGGUCCUGUGCAGUGGAGCCAGUCACCAAACUUCUAGACGCUGUGGGCAAAGUCAUGGUACGCUAAAGGCAUUCUCAGAGCACUUCACAGCUCAGCUGGGUUUGCUGCAGGCAUUCCUGAGUGAAGGGGGUGAACACUGGGAGGAGGAAGAGGAGUGGGAUGUUGUGAUUUAUAAGGAAAAUAUAUAUGUGGUCAUCCAGAUGGCCAGAACCCUUGGAAUUUCCUAAAUGUUCAGAGUGGUAAAGGUGUCUCUUGUUGUGUUAAUGAGGUGACUUUUAGAAGUAGGAUGGGGGUGGGUUGCCAGGAAAGAACCAACUCUGUGAUUAGAGGGUUGGAACUUUCAGUCCCACCCCCUGAUUUUCAGGAAGAGGGGAGAGGAGCCUGAGAUUGACUCAGUUGCCAUUGGCCAAUGAUUUAGUCAAUUGUAGGUAUGUAAUGAAGCCUCUAUGAAAACCCAGAAGGACAGCUUUUGGUCCCAUUUUUGGAGAGCUUCCACGUGGAGAGCGACAGUGCUUCCUCAUGCUCAUAUGAGGACCCCAUGCUCUAAGAGGCCAGAAGUGCCUUUGUUGGGUACCUCGCCGUAUGUCUUUUCAUCUGGCAGUUAAUUUGUAUCCUUUAAUAUCCUUUUAUAAUAAAUCAGUCAUCUGGUGAGUACAUGGGUUUUCCUGAGUUCUGUGAGUCGUUUUAGCAGGUCAUUUGGACCCGAGGAGGAUGUCCUGGGAACCUCUGAUUUGUAGCCAGUUGGUCAGAAGCACAGGUAAGGACCUGGGCUUGCGACUGGCGUCUGAAGUGAAGGGUGGUCUUGUGAGACUGAGCCCUUUACCUGGGUAGCUAGUGUCAGAACUGAGCUGAUUUCUCAGACACCUCCUGGUGUCUAAGGAUUUCUUGUUGGUGUGGGGAAGCCUCCACACACACACAUGUUGGAAUUGAUUCUGGGAACCCUUUUCAAGGAGGAACAGAGUAGUAUCAGAGAAAAUACCAGGUGGACAGCAUCUCAGUGUCUGUGUCUUUUCAAGGCUAAGUGUACAGUCAUCCUCAAAGUUUUGCAGGAAAUAGGCACGCACAGGGUGCUGAAAGACCUUUUUUUAUUCCAUCACCAAGUUUGACUUCCUAGUGAUGAUGGUGUGUUGAAUAAACCCUUUCAAACACCAACUCCUUGCCUCAGGACAUGCAGCAGGCUGAUACUGACCUCCUUGACUUGUUUAAUGAAGCCACCUUGUAAUCCAGAGGU